This is a long non-coding RNA of Thunnus maccoyii (southern bluefin tuna), 816 nucleotides long. RefSeq lists it as uncharacterized. NCBI's taxonomy places the organism in Eukaryota, Metazoa, Chordata, Actinopteri, Scombriformes, Scombridae. The record is from RefSeq and is a predicted model, not a curated record. The transcript has 3 exons.
CAGUGCAUGUCCUCUCGCGCAGGUGGUCACGUGCUCCUCUGUUGACUGAGGAGCAAUAAAAAAAUCUCAGCUCUGCAGCAGAGAGGCUAACAGCUAACAGCUAACAGUCCCGAGGAGAAACACAGCGGAGGGUUUAACACCGACUGGGACAUGAACACAUCGGUAUGAGUGAACCAGCAGCGGGCCGGUGACGUGCACAGGGUGAUCAGGUGUGUGUUGUGACAGCAGCAGGAUGCCCAUCCCUCCCCCUCCUCCACCAGGGGGACCCCCGCCUCCCCCCACCUUCAGCCAGCGGGAGGACUGACAAGCAAGUCAGCUGCAGAAAACCAGCGAAGAAGAAACGAUAUGCUGUCUGCUGACGUUUAGUUUAUUGCAGCAGAUAAAGAAAGACGUAGAUAGCUUCGUCUAACUCUGAACAAAGAUCCAACCACACGGCAACAGUUAGCAUCUCACACAGACACCAGACAGCCAGCAAGUGAACCAGCAAACAAACAACAACAACAACAACAGAAGGAAGGUUAGUCUCUGCAGGUCAUAAACAUGGUAUCUUACUGCAGCCAGUGGAUAUAUGUCCAUUAGUCAGACUACAUGUCUUAUUUUCCAUCUGUAGUCUGCAGGACAUGAAGAAUAACCAUGAUGAGUUAUCCUCAUCUAGAGAAGAAGAACCAGACAGAACCGUCACUGAUUCUUACUCUGUGUCUUGUAGUCAUGUCAGUAUUUAUUAAAAAUGAGUUUUCAAGUUGUACUUUGUGAGUCUGUGUGAAUACUUCCUGUGUGAGUGUGUAUGUAGGUGACCUCAGGCUGCUCUCUAAUUGG